CCUACGGGAGGCAGCAGUGGGGAAUUUUGGACAAUGGGCGAAAGCCUGAUCCAGCCAUGCCGCGUGUCUGAAGAAGGCCUUCGGGUUGUAAAGGACUUUUGUCGGGGAGGAAAUCCCCAGCGCUAAUACCGCUGGGGGAUGACAGUACCUGAAGAAUAAGCACCGGCUAACUACGUGCCAGCAGCCGCGGUAAU
RNAcentral lists this ribosomal RNA (194 nucleotides) under uncultured bacterium. RNAcentral's name for it is "partial 16S ribosomal RNA". It matches the Rfam family "Bacterial small subunit ribosomal RNA", at positions 338 to 524 of the family's 1533-position model. The record is from RNAcentral.